CCAACGGCCCUCUUUAGGGCCACAAAUCCUGUCGAAUACUUUAAA
Non-coding RNA from Dictyocaulus viviparus (bovine lungworm), 45 nucleotides. Lineage: Eukaryota; Metazoa; Nematoda; Chromadorea; Rhabditida; Metastrongylidae. The record is from Rfam.